Molecule: ribosomal RNA, 301 nt
Filed under: uncultured bacterium
Lineage: Bacteria
Description: partial 16S ribosomal RNA
Rfam family: Bacterial small subunit ribosomal RNA
Source: RNAcentral
CAGCAGCCGCGGUAAUACGGAGGGAGCUAGCGUUGUUCGGAGUUACUGGGCGUAAAGCGCACGUAGGCGGCUUUGUAAGUUAGAGGUGAAAGCCUGGAGCUCAACUCCAGAAUUGCCUUUAAGACUGCAUCGCUUGAAUCCAGGAGAGGUGAGUGGAAUUCCGAGUGUAGAGGUGAAAUUCGUAGAUAUUCGGAAGAACACCAGUGGCGAAGGCGGCUCACUGGACUGGUAUUGACGCUGAGGUGCAAAAGCGUGGGGAGCAAACAGGAUUAGAUACCCCAGUAGUCCCUGUCUCUUAUAC